UCAGGUAUCAUCACUCAAUAACCAUUUGACAGCAGUAAUGCUUUUCACAUGGAAAGAAUUGGGUUUUUAUUGAUGGCAAAUGUUGUGAUGAACUUUCAUGCCCACUUGGAGCCGGAGCACUUUUUUAUAGAAUGAACCACAAUGAGAAGCGUUUCCAAGAAAUGUCUUUGGAGUGUGGACUGAGAGGUUAAACAACAUUGUAACAGGACUGAUAACACCAUGAAUGAGAAGUCAUUUGAUCAAUGGAACUCAACCAUCUCAUGCUCCUACUACCAUGGUUGGAGAGCCAGUUAUUAAACAUUUACCAACAUGUGCAAGAACGGGUUUCAAGGCCGGCCAAGGCAAUCCCCCCAGCCUGAGCUACUUCCCAGACCAGACCACAGAAGCAAGGCCAUGCUCACCGAGGACCCCACUUGUGGACUAGACUUCUGUCCUGCUGUGGCCUCAAAAGCAAUAGCCAGGGCCCCAUGAUGAAGCUGCCAUCAGAAGCACAGAUUCCUGGUUGCGAGAGGGAGCCUAUAGGAAUGGCGAGAAGAGUGAGAACUUUGCAGAGGCAGCAAGGUAAAGGAUCUCAAAGGAAGAGUGGUGGGGGGCAGUUCAGAAAGAAAGAAGGAAGAGGAUGAGAAACAGAGGAUGGAGGUCAACACAGCCAGAAGCAGAGGAGGAAGGCAUAGGAAAUAACACCUUUGCUCUGAAAACUCCUUGACCCUGACUAUGAAGGGAUUAGGUUUUGCAAGCAUCAAGAAGUCUAGUGAUGGAAAUAUUAUAGUUUAAUGAAAAAAGUGUGGAAUGGAAUGAAGACAGGAAGAGGAGAACAGAGGGUGGUGUCCUUGUCCUGUGACAAUGCUGAUUUUGGAAUGUGGAUUCAAUACAAACGAUGUUCCUUCUGGCUAGGAUUUUCUCUUUGGGUCACCGCGUGUUCUUUGGGGUCAUAUAAAGUACUCUGCUCAAGAACAAAGGCCAGUGUGGCUAUGAUGAAAAUGCAUUGACAGAGGGGCUUCAAUGUCUAUGGAACAGAAACAAGAGCCCUGGACCAAGAGGAGGAAAUGUGGAUUCACCAACAUGUUGAAAAUCAUUCUAACAUCUCCUAACAUUUUGGAGAUAAAAAAUUUAAUGUUUGGUCCCUGUAACUAGCUUUGACAAAGAGAACACAGUGGAAGUGAUCCUGCCCACCCCUUUUCCAAGGUAGACCUUAAAAGACCUGUAGCUUCCACUAUUGUGCCUCCUAGAAGCCUGUACCAUGUAAGAAUUCUAACUACCAUGGGAACAUCAUGCUGUGAGGAAGCCCAAGCUAGCCAUUUGGGAGAGAGGAAGGCCACGUAGAGAAGCACCAAGAAACUAGACAUGUUUGUGAAGCCUACUUGAACUUUCCAGCCCAACUCCAGCUGAAUGCAUCCAAGUGAAUGGCCCCAGCUGAUCCCCUGUGGAGCAGAACCACCCUGCUGACUCCUGACUGAAUCCCUGAUCCACAGAAUGUGGCUAUGGGCUCAGAUCCUCUCUUACUUCAAGGGAUCUGGGCUGGAUGCUUGGGCGCGAGAGAGAAGAAUGGCUCUCAACUGGGCGGGGAAGAGUAGCCCGCAAGGAGGCAGCGGCUCCAGGAUGGGAAGUGAGGAU
RNAcentral lists this long non-coding RNA (1614 nucleotides) under Homo sapiens (human). Its description in RNAcentral is "HSALNT0106660". Lineage: Eukaryota; Metazoa; Chordata; Mammalia; Primates; Hominidae. The record is from RNAcentral.